GUCAAGUGGUUUAGCUAAAUUCUAUAUAUGUCCAAUUCAGCUAAAUUCUAUAUAUGUCCAGGGUCAAAAUUAAUUCAUUAUCAUUAAAACUAAAUUACAACUAAAGAUCGCUUAGACAAACCUCUCCCUCCUCUCGAGGUUUUGGCGUUAAAUGGAGAUCAUGUCCUCUAUCAAAUUGAAAUGAAUCGAGCGGAGUUUCACUAGUAUGUAAACUUGCUUUCACUCUACGAUCCACGGUGUCGUCAUCACUGACCAAAAUCAUUUUCUCUUCAGUUUUUGACAUUGUUUUUCCAUCCAGAGAUGUACGAUUUUGACUUUUCACAUUUGAAGGUGGAUCGGGAGCAACUGGUUGUUUGCUUGAUCCUCCGUGAUACUUUGAUGUCAACUCUCCCAAUAUUUUCUCUAUAUUUUCCAAUCUCAGAAUGAAAAUUGGAAUCAAGAGAAUGUAACUGCGAAGUUCAAAUCAAAAUGGCAAAUUAGAUUAUUGAAUAAUAAAAACCUACAUCAAAUUGAGGAACGACAUAUACACAUGUAACAUACUAUGCAUUCAGCUUAACAUUCACGAUGAACAGGAACCAACGAAAGGCACCAUCGUUAAUUGGAACAUAAAUCUAACCAAAAAAAUCAGUCACCAUCGAUAAUUGGAACAUAAAUCUAACAAACAAAAAUAAGUAUUUUUCUCAUAGAAGAUGUUUUACAAAAAGUAAAAUUGUAAUCAAUUGAGAGUGUAGAAAGUAACCUUUUGGCAAGCUCCAACGGUAAGUGCUGAUUGCUAUAAAAGAACAAUAAGUAAACAAGUGAUAUGUCAAUAAAUGCACAAGUAUUGAAAAAAAAUCUUAUUGUACAGAGCAAUGUUUGAAAAUUAUUAUAGAUAAACAACAACUUCAAUUCACAUAGAAAUAAUAGUGGUGGAUACUUACUGCAUAUAUUGUCGGUAAAUACCAAUUUAUUGGUGCAUCACUCCAUUUAGCCCAAGCAUGAAAGGUUUUCCGACACUUGCUACUUGUGCAAAACCAUCAAUGUCAGCUCCAACGGUAAGUGCUGAUUGCUAUAAAAGAACAAUAAGUAAACAAGUGAUAUGUCAAUAAAUGCACAAGUAUUGAAAAAAAAUCUUAUUGUACAGAGCAAUGUUUGAAAAUUAUUAUAGAUAAACAACAACUUUAAUUCACAUAAAAAUAAUAGUGGUGGAUACUUACUGCAUAUAUUGUCGGUAAAUACCAGUUUAUUGGUGCAUCACUGCGUUUAGCCCGUUCAUAUAGUGUGAAGUGAUAUGCUAUCAUGGUGAGAAUCUAAAACAGUGGUCAAUAAGUGAGAACUUAGUAUUCAAUUUUGCAAUAAGGCAUCCAAACAUAUAGUACAAUGAUGUGAGUGCCAAUGCACCACAAACCUCUCCACUCAUAGCCGUGUUAGGCAAAAGGCUCAUGAAAUUAUGUCCGGAGAUAAAUUGAUCAUCAGUAGAGACAACGAUUUCGCUGAAAACACAAAUAAGUAAUAAAGUGUUAGCUAAUCAAUAUAUAUGUACAGGGGAAUAAAAAAUACAAAGCCCUAUAAACCACAAGUACCUUCUGUUACCAUCUUUAUCAAAUGCAUAUUGAAAAGGGGGUUAUUUACAUAGAAAGGACCAGCUUUAAACUUAGCCUUCGCUCCCUGAGACACUUUAUCAUAAGGAGAGAGUUGGUAUCGUCUAGGCCUUCUGUUCCGUGCUGGUCGUGUUGCUGGUACGCUCAUGCUAGUGGAGGUCUGGAAGUCUUGCUUAGUGUCAAGUGGUUCAGCUAAAUUCUAUAUAUGUCCAGGGUCAAAAUUAAUCCAUUAUCAUUAAAACUAAAUUACAACUAAAGAUCGCUUAGACAAACCUCUCCCUCCUCUCGAGGUAUUGGCGUUAAAUGGAGAUCAUGUCCUCUAUCAAAUUGAAAUGAAUUGAGCGGAGUUUCACUAGUAUAUGCAGUAGUCCCAAUACAGCCCAACAUAAUAUCAAAGGCUCGUAAACUUGCUUUCACUCUACGAUCCACGGUGUCGUCAUCACUGACCAAAAUCAUUUUCUCUUCAGUUUUUGACAUUGUUUUUCCAUCCAGAGAUGUACGAUUUUGACUGUUCAAAUUUGAAGGUGGAUCGGGAGCAACUGGUUGUUUGCUUGAUCCUCCGUGAUACUUUGAUGUCAACUCUCCCAAUAUUUUCUCUAUAUUUUCCAAUCUCCGUUCAAUGGUUUGGAACGACUCUUUGUUUUGUGCGACGAAUGACCCAAACCUUUCCAUUAGUAACUGAAAAGCAUCAUUAUUCGCAUUGUUCCACCCAUGAGGUUCUGCUUGUUCAGGCUUAUGAAGCCGAUCAGGGUCACGCAUCGAAACCUAAAAUAAUUAAUAAAAUAAUAACAAUUUAGUCCAAAAAUAUGGUAAUUGAUUUCAUUAAAAUAGUAUGCAUGUAUUCUAUACCUUAUUGCUUUUAAUGCCACCAAGCUUUUUUUGCCAUUGGAUCAUCAGUAGAGACAACGAUUUCGCUGAAAACACAAAUAAGUAAUAAAGUGUUAGCUAAUCAAUAUAUAUGUACAGGGGAAUAAAAAAUACAAAGCCCUAUAAACCACAAGUACCUUCUGUUACCAUCUUUAUCAAAUGCAUAUUGAAAAGGGGGUUAUUUACAUAGAAAGGACCAGCUUUAAACUUAGCCUUCGCUCCCUGAGACACUUUAUCAUAAGGAGAGAGUUGGUAUCGUCUAGGCCUUCUGUUCCGUGCUGGUCGUGUUGCUGGUACGCUCAUGCUAGUGGAGGUCUGGAAGUCUUGCUUAGUGUCAAGUGGUUCAGCUAAAUUCUAUAUAUGUCCAGGGUCAAAAUUAAUCCAUUAUCAUUAAAACUAAAUUACAACUAAAGAUCGCUUAGACAAACCUCUCCCUCCUCUCGAGGUAUUGGCGUUAAAUGGAGAUCAUGUCCUCUAUCAAAUUGAAAUGAAUUGAGCGGAGUUUCACUAGUAUAUGCAGUAGUCCCAAUACAGCCCAACAUAAUAUCAAAGGCUCGUAAACUUGCUUUCACUCUACGAUCCACGGUGUCGUCAUCACUGACCAAAAUCAUUUUCUCUUCAGUUUUUGACAUUGUUUUUCCAUCCAGAGAUGUACGAUUUUGACUGUUCAAAUUUGAAGGUGGAUCGGGAGCAACUGGUUGUUUGCUUGAUCCUCCGUGAUACUUUGAUGUCAACUCUCCCAAUAUUUUCUCUAUAUUUUCCAAUCUCCGUUCAAUGGUUUGGAACGACUCUUUGUUUUGUGCGACGAAUGACCCAAACCUUUCCAUUAGUAACUGAAAAGCAUCAUUAUUCGCAUUGUUCCACCCAUGAGGUUCUGCUUGUUCAGGCUUAUGAAGCCGAUCAGGGUCACGCAUCGAAACCU
This 3369-nucleotide long non-coding RNA is filed under the name Citrus sinensis (sweet orange). RNAcentral's name for it is "long non-coding RNA (CSIN_LNC000363)". Lineage: Eukaryota; Viridiplantae; Streptophyta; Magnoliopsida; Sapindales; Rutaceae. The record is from RNAcentral.